This 405-nucleotide ribosomal RNA is filed under the name uncultured Rhizorhapis sp. Its description in RNAcentral is "bacterial SSU rRNA". It matches the Rfam family "Bacterial small subunit ribosomal RNA", at positions 354 to 776 of the family's 1533-position model. The record is from RNAcentral. Lineage: Bacteria; Pseudomonadati; Pseudomonadota; Alphaproteobacteria; Sphingomonadales; Sphingomonadaceae.
GUGGGGAAUAUUGGACAAUGGGCGAAAGCCUGAUCCAGCAAUGCCGCGUGAGUGAUGAAGGCCCUAGGGUUGUAAAGCUCUUUUACCCGGGAUGAUAAUGACAGUACCGGGAGAAUAAGCCCCGGCUAACUCCGUGCCAGCAGCCGCGGUAAUACGGAGGGGGCUAGCGUUGUUCGGAAUUACUGGGCGUAAAGCGCACGUAGGCGGCUGUUCAAGUCAGAGGUGAAAGCCUGGAGCUCAACUCCAGAACUGCCUUUGAAACUAGACAGCUAGAAUCAUGGAGAGGUGAGUGGAAUUCCGAGUGUAGAGGUGAAAUUCGUAGAUAUUCGGAAGAACACCAGUGGCGAAGGCGGCUCACUGGACAUGUAUUGACGCUGAGGUGCGAAAGCGUGGGGAGCAAACAGG